Unclassified non-coding RNA from Oncorhynchus mykiss (rainbow trout), 289 nucleotides. It matches the Rfam family "Metazoan signal recognition particle RNA". Rfam says of the family: The signal recognition particle (SRP) is a universally conserved ribonucleoprotein. Lineage: Eukaryota; Metazoa; Chordata; Actinopteri; Salmoniformes; Salmonidae. The record is from Ensembl.
GCCGGGUGCAGUGGCAUGUGCCUGUAAUCCAAGUCACUGGGAGGCUGAGGUUGGUGGAUCAAGUGAGCUGAGGAGCUCUGGGCUGCAGCACGCUAUGUCGAACGGGUGUCCACGCUAAGUUCGGUAUCGAUAUGGUGAGCCUGGGACCACCAGGUUGUCUAAGGAGGGGUGAACCGGCCAAGGUCGGAAACGAAGCAGGUCAAAUCCCCCGUGCUGUCCAGUAGUGGGAUAAUACCUGUGAGUAGAUGCUGUAGUGCAGCCUUGGCAAAACAUCGAGACCUAAUCUUUU